This 377-nucleotide transfer-messenger RNA is filed under the name Candidatus Mailhella excrementigallinarum. It matches the Rfam family "transfer-messenger RNA". From Rfam's summary of the family: Bacterial tmRNA, also known as 10Sa RNA or SsrA, is named for its dual tRNA and mRNA-like properties. Its role is to liberate the mRNA from a stalled ribosome. Lineage: Bacteria; Pseudomonadati; Thermodesulfobacteriota; Desulfovibrionia; Desulfovibrionales; Desulfovibrionaceae. RNAcentral also lists the same sequence under 1 other name. The record is from RNAcentral.
GGGGGCGCAAUGGUUUCGACGGGGAUGGGGAAGCCGGGGUUGCAGGUCGAGGCGCCGCUGGCCUCGUAAAAAGCGGCAACAAAAGUAAUUGCCAACAACGAUUACGACUACGCCUACGCUGCGUAAGCAGCAGGGUUCCUGACGGCUUCGGCCGUCACGCCGGAGUGACCGACGCCUGAUACGUCGCCGAGGUGUCAAAUCCAUCAGGCUGGCCCACGCGGGUGCCCACCGGCGCGCGGGCGAGAUCAUACGGCGGGCUGACCGCCAGCUGCCUGUUCAGGGGCGAAGUUUGCGGUGAGACUGUACCUGAACUAAACCUGUAGACGCCUUGCGCGGAUCGUUCUCGGACGGGGGUUCGACUCCCCCCGCCUCCACCA